RNAcentral lists this ribosomal RNA (816 nucleotides) under uncultured bacterium. RNAcentral describes it as "bacterial SSU rRNA". It matches the Rfam family "Bacterial small subunit ribosomal RNA", at positions 8 to 829 of the family's 1533-position model. The record is from RNAcentral.
AGAGUUUGAUCCUGGCUCAGGACGAACGCUGGCGGCGUGCCUAACACAUGCAAGUCGAGCGGAGAUACAUGGAAGGUUUACCGGAUAUGUAUUUUAGCGGCGGACGGGUGAGUAACGCGUGAGAAACCUGCCUUGUACAGGGGGAUAACACAUCGAAAGAUGUGCUAAUACCGCAUAACAUACAGUUAUCGCAUGGUGAUUGUAUCAAAGGAGCAAUCCGGUAUAAGAUGGUCUCGCGUCUGAUUAGCUAGUUGGUAGGGUAAAGGCCUACCAAGGCGACGAUCAGUAGCCGACCUGAGAGGGUGAUCGGCCACAUUGGGACUGAGACACGGCCCAGACUCCUACGGGAGGCAGCAGUGGGGAAUAUUGCGCAAUGGGGGAAACCCUGACGCAGCAACGCCGCGUGGAGGAAGAAGGUUUUCGGAUCGUAAACUCCUGUCCUCUGGGAAGAAAUUUGACGGUACCAGAGGAGGAAGCCACGGCUAACUACGUGCCAGCAGCCGCGGUAAUACGUAGGUGGCGAGCGUUGUCCGGAAUUACUGGGUGUAAAGGGCGUGUAGGCGGGACUGCAAGUCAGAUGUGAAAUACCGGGGCUCAACCCCGGGGCUGCAUUUGAAACUGUAGUUCUUGAGUGCAGGAGAGGAAAGCGGAAUUCCUAGUGUAGCGGUGAAAUGCGUANAUAUUAGGAGGAACACCANNUGGCGAANGCGGCUUUCUGGACUGUAACUGACGCUGAGGCGCGAAAGCGUGGGGAGCGAACAGGAUUAGAUACCCUGNUAGUCCACGCCGUAAACGAUGNAUACUAGGUGUAGGANG